This 772-nucleotide ribosomal RNA is filed under the name uncultured Neocallimastigales. RNAcentral describes it as "partial large subunit ribosomal RNA". It matches the Rfam family "Eukaryotic large subunit ribosomal RNA", at positions 24 to 642 of the family's 3401-position model. Lineage: Eukaryota; Fungi; Neocallimastigomycota; Neocallimastigomycetes; Neocallimastigales. The record is from RNAcentral.
AUCUCUGUAGAGUCUGCAUAUCAAUAAGCGGAGGAAAAGAAACUAACAAGGAUUCCCCUAGUAACGGCGAGUGAAGCGGGAAGAGCUCAAAUUUGAAAUCUUCAAGGUUUGACCUUGACGAAUUGUAGUUUAAAGAAGUGUUUUCGGUUAGAGGAGUAGUAAAAGUUCUUUGGAAUAGGACAUCAUAGAGGGUGAGAAUCCCGUAUUUGACUAUUCUUUCUAGCUUUGUGAUACACUUUCAAAGAGUCGGAUUGUUUGGGAAUGCAGUCCAAAAUGGGUGGUAAAUUUCAUCUAAAGCUAAAUAUUGGCGAGAGACCGAUAGCGAACAAGUACCGUGAGGGAAAGAUGAAAAGAACUUUGAAAAGAGAGUUAAACAGUACGUGAAAUUGUCAAAAGGGAAGCGUUUGACACCAGUGUUGUUUUUCCGAAAAUCAAUUAAAAAUUGAUUCAUGCCAGGUUGUAUUGACCUUAUCAGCUUGCAAUUUGGUUUUGGGUCUCUUUUUGAUGCACUUUUCGGUUAACAAGUCAACAUCAAUUUCCUUUGCUGUAAAAAGGUAAGAGGAAGGUGGCUUCAAUUUCGGUUGAAGUGUUUAUAGCCUUUUAUCUCUGCAGUCGGGGAGAUUGAGGUCUGCAGCGUAGAUCCUUCGGGGCUAGAUACAUUUAUGCUAGUUAUAGCUUUUCAUAGACAACUUGUUGACUAUGUUUAGUCAUGUAGCUUACUCGUAAGUGCUAUUUUACCUACGCUUAGGAUGUUGAAGACUCUACAGAGAUA